ACGGGUGAGUAACGCGUGAGCAACCUUCCUGCCUGUGAGGGAUAACACAGGGAAACUUGUGCUAAUACCGCAUGACGCAUGAUCAUCGCAUGGUGGAUAUGCCAAAGAUUUAUUGCAGGCAGAUGGGCUCGCGUCUGAUUAGAUAGUUGGUGGGGCAACGGCCUACCAAGUCGACGAUCAGUAGCCGGACUGAGAGGUUGAACGGCCACAUUGGAACUGAGAUACGGUCCAGACUCCUACGGGAGGCAGCAGUGGGGAAUAUUGGGCAAUGGGCGAAAGCCUGACCCAGCGACGCCGCGUGAGGGAAGAAGGUCUUCGGAUUGUAAACCUCUUUCAGCAAGGAAGAAGAAAGUGACGGUACUUGCAGAAGAAGCCACGGCUAACUACGUGCCAGCAGCCGCGGUAAUACGUAGGUGGCGAGCGUUAUCCGGAAUUACUGGGUGUAAAGGGUGUGUAGGCGGGGAGUCAAGUCAGAUGUGAAAAUUACGGGCUCAACCCGUAACCUGCGUCUGAAACUGAUUCUCUUGAGAGUGGGAGAGGUAAACGGAAUUCCUGGUGUAGCGGUGAAAUGCGUAGAUAUCAGGAGGAACACCGGUGGCGAAGGCGGUUUACUGGACCACAACUGACGCUGAGACACGAAAGCGUGGGGAGCAA
RNAcentral lists this ribosomal RNA (654 nucleotides) under uncultured rumen bacterium. RNAcentral describes it as "bacterial SSU rRNA". It matches the Rfam family "Bacterial small subunit ribosomal RNA", at positions 102 to 771 of the family's 1533-position model. The record is from RNAcentral.